GACGAACGCUGGCGGCGUGCUUAACACAUGCAAGUCGAACGAUGAUGCUGGAGCUUGCUCCAGUUGAUUAGUGGCGAACGGGUGAGUAACACGUGAGCAAUCUGCCCUUGACUCCGGGAUAACUGCGGGAAACUGCAGCUAAUACCGGAUACUUUCACCGGAAGGCAUCUUCUGGUGAUGAAAGAAUUUCGGUCAGGGAUGAGCUCGCGGCCUAUCAGCUUGUUGGUGAGGUAACGGCUCACCAAGGCGACGACGGGUAACCGGCCUGAGAGGGUGACCGGUCACACUGGGACUGAGACACGGCCCAGACUCCUACGGGAGGCAGCAGUGGGGAAUAUUGCACAAUGGGCGCAAGCCUGAUGCAGCAACGCCGCGUGAGGGAUGAAGGCCUUCGGGUUGUAAACCUCUUUUAGCAGGGAAGAAGCGAAAGUGACGGUACCUGCAGAAAAAGCACCGGCUAACUACGUGCCAGCCGCCGCAGUAA
This 484-nucleotide ribosomal RNA is filed under the name uncultured bacterium. RNAcentral's name for it is "partial 16S ribosomal RNA". It matches the Rfam family "Bacterial small subunit ribosomal RNA", at positions 28 to 523 of the family's 1533-position model. The record is from RNAcentral.